GGCAGAGCAGCGAUCUGCUGGGGUGGAUCCUGGUUGCCUUGGGCCUCGCCUUGUGCUUCUACACCGUCUACUCCUCCACCUUCGACGACGACGACCAGUCCGGCGGCGGCGGCAUCACGCUCUGAACACCACCAUCUUUUCCUUCUGUCAUCUCAAAUCAAAUUAAAAUAAUACCGUCCAUGAUUUGUAUAGCCCUGUCAGUAACAAGGGCGCUCGUUUCGCUUCUAAUCAAACGAGUGGGGUGGUGGCGCGGUUGGCUAGCGCGUAGGUCUCAUAGCUAUCAUUUACGUGAGUGAUUCUGAGGUCGAGACUUCAUCGUUGUGAUGAAAGGCUCUAAGGCAACUUGGGUCGCCGCAUCUCUACCUGAAUCUUCAGUGUGAAAAUAACAAGUCUGAACCUGGUCUUUAAUUGUUUU
This 415-nucleotide long non-coding RNA is filed under the name Hordeum vulgare. Its description in RNAcentral is "long non-coding RNA (HVUL_LNC002152)". Lineage: Eukaryota; Viridiplantae; Streptophyta; Magnoliopsida; Poales; Poaceae. The record is from RNAcentral.